GCGGGGGUUGCCAAGCUUGGUCAAAGGCGCAGGAUUGAGGGUCCUGUCGUGUAGACGUUCGCGGGUUCGAAUCCCGUCCCCCGCA
This 85-nucleotide transfer RNA is filed under the name Methanotrichaceae archaeon. RNAcentral describes it as "tRNA-Leu". It matches the Rfam family "tRNA". Rfam says of the family: Transfer RNA (tRNA) molecules are approximately 80 nucleotides in length. Their secondary structure includes four short double-helical elements and three loops (D, anti-codon, and T loops). Further hydrogen bonds mediate the characteristic L-shaped molecular structure. tRNAs have two regions of fundamental functional importance: the anti-codon, which is responsible for specific mRNA codon recognition, and the 3' end, to which the tRNAs corresponding amino acid is attached (by aminoacyl-tRNA synthetases). tRNAs cope with the degeneracy of the genetic code in two manners: having more than one tRNA (with a specific anti-codon) for a particular amino acid; and 'wobble' base-pairing, i.e. permitting non-standard base-pairing at the 3rd anti-codon position. The record is from RNAcentral. Lineage: Archaea; Methanobacteriati; Methanobacteriota; Methanomicrobia; Methanotrichales; Methanotrichaceae.